Non-coding RNA from Myodes glareolus (Bank vole), 377 nucleotides. The record is from RefSeq and is a predicted model, not a curated record. Lineage: Eukaryota; Metazoa; Chordata; Mammalia; Rodentia; Cricetidae.
AGGAGCUGAUGAAAUACUUUGGCGAGAGCAAUGACUAGUUUUGUUAUAUUAAGUUGUGGUUUGUUUCCAGUGUGGAAGGAGAAAAAGUCAUUUACGAUUGCUCAACAUUCUUGGGUUUUAGGUUUGUCGGAUCCACAAAGACUGCUUGGGAAUUCAUCCCUGAAGUAAACCAACAUGAAAUGUAGGCACGGAAUGCAGGGAACUUUCUGAUAAUGAGGUAACAAAGGGUGAGGAAUGACUUCCGCAGGAUCUCCAGAGUAGCUUCCAGGGACUGCUACAUCCUCUGCUGUCUUCAAAAAUGGGCCCUCUCUUCACGAAAUACUCCCCAGUCUCUCCCAUGUGCACUCUUUCCUCCCCACCAAUCCCCUGCUGGCCUU